GGGGUUGUGACUCAUGGGUAGAGUGCUCGCCUAGCACGUGUGAGGCCCUGGGUUCGAUCCUCAGCACCACA
Molecule: transfer RNA, 71 nt
Filed under: Marmota monax (woodchuck)
Lineage: Eukaryota; Metazoa; Chordata; Mammalia; Rodentia; Sciuridae
Description: tRNA.Ala
Rfam family: tRNA
About the family: Transfer RNA (tRNA) molecules are approximately 80 nucleotides in length.
Source: RNAcentral